CAAAGGUAGCAUAAUCAUUUGCCCCAUAAUUGGGGGCUAGCAUGAAUGGAUGAACGAGGGCUUAACUGUCUCCUUCUUGAUUUUUGAAUUUGUAGUUAAUGUGAAGAUACAUUAAUUUUUAAAAAAGACAAGAAGACCCUUUUGAGCUUUACUUUUUUUUUUCUUUAUGUUUCUUAAUUAGUUUGGUUGGGGCGACCAAGGAAGAUAAUUUUUAUUUAUUUUAUGUUUGUCUUAAUAAGGAUCUUCCUUUGUUUUUUUUUGAACCAUGCUUUUUGGUUUAUAGAUUAAGUUACCAAAGGGAUAACAGCGUAAUUUUUUUUAAAAGUUCUUAUUAAAAAAAAAGAUUGCGACCUCGAUGUUGACUUAUAAUUUCCUUUUGG
The sequence is a ribosomal RNA, 380 nucleotides long. It matches the Rfam family "Bacterial large subunit ribosomal RNA", at positions 1951 to 2553 of the family's 2925-position model.